AAUAUUGGACAAUCGGGGGAACCCUGAUCCAGCCAUGCCGCGUGGGUGAAGAAGGCCCUUUGGUUGUAAAGCACUUUCUGCGAGGAGGAGGCAACUGUAGUUAAUACCUAGGGAGAGAGGACGCCAGUCCCAGAAUAAGCACCGGCUAACUCUGUGCCAGCAGCAGCGGGAAUACAGAGGGUGCAAGCGUUAGUCGGAGUAACUGGGCGGAAAGCACGGGUAGGUGGCCAAUUAAGUCAAAUGUGAAAUCCCCGAGCUGAACUUGGGAAUUGCAUUCGAUACUGGUUGGCUAGAGUAUGGGAGAGGAUGGUAGAAUUCCAGGUGUAGCGGUGAAAUGCGUAGAAGUCUGGAGGAAUACCGAUGGCGAAGGCAGCCGUCUGGCCUAAUACUGACACUGAGGUGCGAAAGCAUGGGGGGCAAAC
Molecule: ribosomal RNA, 422 nt
Filed under: uncultured bacterium
Lineage: Bacteria
Description: partial 16S ribosomal RNA
Rfam family: Bacterial small subunit ribosomal RNA
Source: RNAcentral